UACGUAGGGUGCAAGCGUUGUCCGGAAUUAUUGGGCGUAAAGAGCUCGUAGGCGGUUUGUCGCGUCUGCUGUGAAAACUCGGGGCUUAACCCCGGGCCUGCAGUGGGUACGGGCAGACUAGAGUGCGGUAGGGGAGACUGGAAUUCCUGGUGUAGCGGUGAAAUGCGCAGAUAUCAGGAGGAACACCAAUAGCGAAGGCAGCUCGCUGGGACGGUACUGACGCUAAGGCGCGAAAGCGUGGGGAGCGAACAGG
RNAcentral lists this ribosomal RNA (253 nucleotides) under uncultured bacterium. Its description in RNAcentral is "partial 16S ribosomal RNA". It matches the Rfam family "Bacterial small subunit ribosomal RNA", at positions 524 to 776 of the family's 1533-position model. The record is from RNAcentral.